UUCCGAAAGGAUUCAUAGAGAAACCGGUGGGAAUCCGGUACGAUCCCGUCACUGUAUUAGGGAGUUUCAAGAUAUUAUGUCACUGGAUGGAGGAGUCUGGGAAGGCGUCUUGAGGCGAUGAUCUUAAGUCAGGAGAACUGCUUGUAAUGAU
This 151-nucleotide non-coding RNA is filed under the name uncultured Blautia sp. The record is from RNAcentral. Lineage: Bacteria; Bacillati; Bacillota; Clostridia; Lachnospirales; Lachnospiraceae.